Pelodiscus sinensis (Chinese soft-shelled turtle) is the source of this 297-nucleotide non-coding RNA. The record is from RefSeq and is a predicted model, not a curated record. NCBI's taxonomy places the organism in Eukaryota, Metazoa, Chordata, Testudines, Trionychidae.
UUUAUGUGCAGCUCACAAUUAACAAUUGAUUGAAGAAAGUGCUGUCGUUUUGCUGUCUUGCCAUGAGGGCUGCUUUAUUGAUUCUUAAUGUCUCCAGGCCUUUCCACACAGCAGUUUCCUUAGCCUCCUGCUCUGAGGGUGAUGGAACUGAGACACAUUCUCAUGUCAGGUUCCAGACUGUCCAUCUGACCCCCUUAGGUGCACAAGAUUUACUAGCAGACAUGAAGAGAUGUGGAAUUUAGCAGCUAGCUGAGUACAACUUGAUUACAUUUGGAGAAAAAGAAACAGGUGCAGAAA